AGGGGAAUAGCCAAGCGGGUCAAGGCACCGGAGCUCCGGAUACCGAAGGUUCGAAUCCUUCUUCCCCUG
RNAcentral lists this transfer RNA (69 nucleotides) under Candidatus Tremblayella princeps. RNAcentral's name for it is "Candidatus Tremblaya princeps tRNA". It matches the Rfam family "tRNA". From Rfam's summary of the family: Transfer RNA (tRNA) molecules are approximately 80 nucleotides in length. Their secondary structure includes four short double-helical elements and three loops (D, anti-codon, and T loops). The record is from Rfam by way of RNAcentral. Lineage: Bacteria; Pseudomonadati; Pseudomonadota; Betaproteobacteria.